CCUAAACACAUGCAAGUCGAACGGCUCUUCGGAGCAGUGGCGGACGGGUAGUAACACGUGGGAACGUAGGCCCCUUUGGUACGGAACAACUGAGGGAAACUUCAGCUAAUACCGUAUGUGCCCUUCGGGGGAAAGAUUUAUCGCCAUUGGAGCGGCCCGCGUUGGAUUAGGUAGUUGGUAGGGGUAAUGGCCUACCAAGCCUACGAUCCAUAGCUGGUCUGAGAGGAUGAUCAGCCACACUGGGACUGAGACACGGCCCAGACUCCUACGGGAGGCAGCAGUGGGGAAUCUUGCGCAAUGGGCGAAAGCCUGACGCAGCCAUGCCGCGUGUAUGAUGAAGGUCUUAGGAUUGUAAAUACUUUCACCGGGGAAGAUAAUGACGGUACCCGGAGAAGAAGCCCCGGCUAACUUCGUGCCAGCAGCCGCGGUAA
Molecule: ribosomal RNA, 431 nt
Filed under: uncultured bacterium
Lineage: Bacteria
Description: bacterial SSU rRNA
Rfam family: Bacterial small subunit ribosomal RNA
Source: RNAcentral